RNAcentral lists this ribosomal RNA (460 nucleotides) under uncultured bacterium. RNAcentral's name for it is "partial 16S ribosomal RNA". It matches the Rfam family "Bacterial small subunit ribosomal RNA", at positions 338 to 795 of the family's 1533-position model. The record is from RNAcentral.
CCUACGGGUGGCAGCAGUGAGGAAUAUUGGUCAAUGGACGAGAGUCUGAACCAGCCAAGUAGCGUGAAGGAUGACUGCCCUAUGGGUUGUAAACUUCUUUUAUAAAGGAAUAAAACGAGGCACGUGUGCCUUUUUGCAUGUACUGUAUGAAUAAGGAUCGGCUAACUCCGUGCCAGCAGCCGCGGUAAUACGGAGGAUCCGAGCGUUAUCCGGAUUUAUUGGGUUUAAAGGGAGCGUAGAUGGGUUGUUAAGUCAGUUGUGAAAGUUUGCGGCUCAACCGUAAAAUUGCAACUGAUACUGGCAGUCUUGAGUAUAGUUGCGGUAGGCGGAAUGCGUGGUGUAGCGGUGAAAUGCUUAGAUAUCACACAGAACACCGAUUGCGAAGGCAGCUUACUAAGCUGUGACUGACAUUGAUGCUCGAAAGUGUGGGGAUCAAACAGGAUUAGAUACCCGGGUAGUC